ACUGUGAUUGUUGGAUCAUAUGUUAAGUCUAGGUUUAGCUUUAAAAGAAACUGCCAAACUGUCUUCCAAACUGACUAUAUCAUUUUGUAUUCCCUUCAGCAUU
RNAcentral lists this microRNA precursor (103 nucleotides) under Marmota monax (woodchuck). The record is from RNAcentral. Lineage: Eukaryota; Metazoa; Chordata; Mammalia; Rodentia; Sciuridae.